RNAcentral lists this ribosomal RNA (468 nucleotides) under uncultured bacterium. RNAcentral describes it as "partial 16S ribosomal RNA". It matches the Rfam family "Bacterial small subunit ribosomal RNA", at positions 28 to 507 of the family's 1533-position model. The record is from RNAcentral.
GACCAACGCUGGCGGCGUGCUUAACACAUGCAAGUCGAACGGAAAGGCCCUGCUUUUGUGGGGUGCUCGAGUGGCGAACGGGUGAGUAACACGUGAGUAACCUGCCCUUGACUUUGGGAUAACUUCAGGAAACUGGGGCUAAUACCGGAUAGGAGCUCCUGCUGCAUGGUGGGGGUUGGAAAGUUUGGGCGGUUGGGGAUGGACUCGCGGCUUAUCAGCUUGUUGGUGGGGUAGUGGCUUACCAAGGCUUUGACGGGUAGCCGGCCUGAGAGGGUGGCCGGCCACAUUGGAACUGAGAUACGGCCCAGACUCAUACGGGCGGCAGCAGUGGGGAAUAUUGCACAAUGGGCGGAAGCCUGAUGCAGCAACGCCGCGUGCGGGAUAACGGCAUUCGGGUUGUAAACCGCUUUCGCCUGUGACGAAGCGUGAGUGACGGUAAUGGGUAAAGAAGCACCGGCUAACUACGUG